GGCAGGAGACAGGAGAAGAGGGGAGAGGAGGGGAAAGGAAGAGCCUCCUGUGAAUUGGGUGCACCAAUGCUCAGCAGAGGGCACUGAAACCUUGGGUAACUAGGCUAACAGAAGGUUUUAAGCUGACUGAAGAGGAUGCCUGGGAACAAAACUGCCCUCUAGAAGGGAAGGAAGCAAGCUCUGAGCCAUCUCUCCAGCUCUUCAUUCCUCUUGAAAUUCUUUGCUCUGGAUGAGGAUAAGAAGAUGAGGGGCAAAGAAGGGGAGGAGAAGAAAGAAGGAGGAAGAGAGGCUUGAAACCCCCAUCUGAGUUUUAAGCUGUGUGUUGAUAAUUUCUACAAAUGUAGUGUGUGAGAGUGGCUUUCAGGCUAGCCACUGCAAAGACUAGUAAGGCCACUCUCUUGCUCCCUGCAUUGUGCAUCUGAUGCUCCGUUCUCAGGACUCAGUAUCACAAGGCCAUCAGACAAAGACAGCUGAGCUGUCCUCAGCUUGAAGUGUAUAUUCUGAAGGAUGUCAGUACACACUUAAAUGGUAGUGAAUGAAUUUUCCAGACUAUGGUCUCACAUGUGAAUUUAACCCUGAGAAAAAUCACAGCCCUUUAAGAGAAUUGAAGUUUUUCAAGUCAAUUACAUCACUGGAAUUUAAACACCAUUUUGCAUUUGUGAUUCACAGAAAUUCCAUCUCUGACACACAUUUGCCUUGCAUGCCCUCCUUUGACAUCAUGGUUGAUACCCUCAAGAAUUCUUAUUUCUGCAAAAUAAGAAUCACAUGACUGGCCUCAAAGUCGUCCACCAGCACAAAGUGUCCUUGGACAAGCUUGAACCAGCUUCAUGGACGUGGAACAUAAAAUUAGCUAUCACAAGUCCACUUUGUCUAGUACCUUGUGACUCUUAUUAAGGGGAAUUUAGUCUCUAAAGUUAAAAAUCAAACAACAACUGUGCUUCAUCUUCACCAGAAAAGGAAGCAAAAUCCUAGAGGGAUGGUGACCACUCUCUUUGCAUCCCAUAACCUGCAUACCAUGACAUAGGAUUAAUAGUAUUUCACUACUAAAGUAACAUCAAUACAUCUUAUAUUUCAUGAUAAAAUAAGGAGAAAACAAAAGAAAGUUAUUCACUCAAUGUACUUUAGGUUUGUUCACAGACAAUACUCACAAUGCCAUACUCACAUGGUCAUAGCCACCUUUUACAACUCACUUCUUUUACUGUUUAAGAAUAGGGAAAGAUGUUUGCAUAACCUAAGCAGUCUUGUUGAGGCAUGUUCCAUCAGUGACCUAUCAUUGUAUCCAGCCUCUCUUGCAGUGUGAUUGAAUAACUUGCCAAAACUGUGAGAAAUCCCCUCCUAAGACCAAGUUCCUCCUCUGGAAGUUCCCAAUGCCUCAGACUUCUGCUUCUCUAUAUUAUGGGAUUUCUAAGGAAGUUUAAUUGUUUGUAUAUUUUGUUUCAGUGGUAUGGUACCUGAUGCAAAGGUCACCUGGUGUUUUUCUUCAGAAAAAUCUCCUUUUCUUGUAAGGAACAAGGAACACUGAGAAUAAUCCAAUUGAACAACAAUACUAGAAAGAUUCCAGUUAAAAUAACUUAACUGUAUCUGUCAUACUCACCUACACUCUUAGAUCAUACUUCUUAAAAUAAAGUUCCCUGCUAUAAGGUCACACAUGAUGAUGAAUGGAAAUCUGCACAGAGCGACACCCAGAAAAUCAUGUGUAUGCUUCUGUGUGGGAACCAAAUGGGGGGACAGCACUCAGGCACCUAGAUCUAUUAGGUACUAUGCAAGCCAACUACAGGCAAAAUCAAGCACAAGACAGAAGCAGGGGUAAUACUAUGCCUUCAUAUGGAAUGUUCUGAGGUAUAAAAUGGUAACUUAUCAACGGAAUGAAUGAGGGGGAGGUAAAACUCAGAAUGAUAAGUGUUGACUCCAAGCCAGGCCUACCCCCACCUCAGAGGCUGAACCAGGAGAAUCAGUGUUCAAGGCCUGCCUAAACUACAGAGUGAGCACAAGACUAGCAUGUGCAACUUAGUGAAGCCUUUCUUGAAUAUAAAAGAGGACUUUGCCUGAUGCAAGUACCUAGUGCUAUAGGCACUUUUGUUUCUCAAAUAAAUAUAUGCUCCUCUUCUGGCCUGAAGCAUACAACAGAAGAAGCAGAUUCAUUUGACUACUGGAAAUUUCUUCAACAGCUAAAAUAACAAAGAUGAGAAAAUCAGAAACCUAGUAUUAACUGAGUCUUUGCAAAACAUAUAUAAUCUACUUCGAUUUAAUAACUACCGCAGGAAGAUGGAUGAAACUAGGGCUACAUUCAGAAAGAUAAGUCUCAAAUGUUCAUCUAUAGAACCAAGAGAGAAAUGAAAGACUACAAACAUGAGUACAGUAAGGGGUCUAUCAGAAAGCACAAGGUAUUAUGAUGGGGAAACUCUGUUAACCAAUCACAGCUAAAUGGGGUGUGGCGACCUGGAACCCAGGAAGAAAAACCGAGAGAUCCAAGUGCCCACCAGACCGACUGGAAUUCGGACCUCCCACUCUUGUAGCAUGAGUUUCCCCUUUUCAACUAUUAAAAUAUAACUGUUAUUCUUGA
Myodes glareolus (Bank vole) is the source of this 2563-nucleotide non-coding RNA. The record is from RefSeq and is a predicted model, not a curated record. NCBI's taxonomy places the organism in Eukaryota, Metazoa, Chordata, Mammalia, Rodentia, Cricetidae.